CAGCUGGAUCCAGGCAGCCUGAAAAUACUUUGUCUGCUACAUACUAUAUUAGUUUUUUCCUAUGUGUCAUUAUCUUACAUUGUCUGCUACAUACUAUAGUAGUUUGGUUAAUGGUUACAAUCUUCACGUCAGGAACAAACUCAAAGAUAAGUGCUCUUCUUCUAUUAAAAUUGGAAUUAUAUAUUUUUUAUUUAUAAUUGUGAAGUUUGCUUUUAUUGUUAUUGAGUUGUAUGAUUAUCAUGAAAUUUUUACCAUGUAAACAAAUAAAUCAAUUCUAAAAAUAAUAUGAUUGUUUUUACAAGUUAUACAUAUAUUUUUUUUUAAUUAUAUAUUUUUCGAUAAUCUAUAUGACUAUUUAGUUAAAUGGUGAAAUCUUUUUCAAAAUUUGCAUCUGUAGUUAUAUUUUUUGUACAACUAGGGUUUAGGGUUGGGAAUAGGGUUUUAGUAUACUUCGGGUUUAGUAUUUAGCAUUUAUGUAUUAGGUUUAGGAUUACAGUUUAAGGUUAGUAUGUUUAGGGUUAGGGUUUCAAGAUUAAGGUUAGUAUAUUUAGGGUUAGGGUUUCUAGAUUAAGGUUUAGGAUUUAGUAUAUUUAGGAAUAAGUUUUUAAGGUUUAGUAUAUAUAGAGUUAGGAUUAGGAUUUCAGGGUUUAGGAUUAGGGUUUAAUAUUAGUAUAUUUACGGUUAGUGUUAGGAUAACGGUUUAGGAUUUAGUAUAUUUAGGAUUAGGUUUUAAGGUUUAGUAUAUUUAAAGUUAGGAUUAGGGUUUCAGGGUUUAGGGUUAGGGUUUAAUGUUAGUAUAUUUACGGUUAGUGUUAGGAUAACGGUUUAGGAUUUAGUAUAUUUAGGAUUAGGUUUUAAGGUUUAGUAUAUUUAGAGUUAGGAUUAGGGUUUCAGGGUUUAGGAUUAGGGUUUAAUGUUAGUAUAUUUACGGUUAGUUUUAGGAUAAUGGUUUAGGAUUUAAGGUAUUAGGAUUUAGUAUAUUAGGAUUGACUCCAGGUAAAUUCAUCUUUUCCCACCUAUCAUCCUUUUUUUUCGUGCAGUUACUGCCUUUGAAUUAUUAGUCGCUAUUUCUAACUCGCAUGGUACUAUAUGAACAUGUGGCAAUUGCAGCUACGGACUGCCAAUCUCUUGAUGUUGCAAAGGAGUUGCGUUCAAUUGUUACUGCUAAUUUCAGAUGCAGAUGUGAAGCUUGUUUUCCCGAAUGAACAAGUGCCUUUUGAAGCAGAAUUACCCUUUGAGUCUUGGUUAGAUAAAGCUGUCGUUGAACCAUCCCUUAAUGAUCCUUACGAUCCCAAUAUUUUGAAUUUAGCAAAGAGUGCCUCUUGCCACAUUAUGAAGUAUUCAGCUUCCAGGCACUUUGAAAUGUUCAUUUUAUAUUUAUUUUGCGGCUUCCAUACACUAUAAGUCUUGAAGCGACGGAUUUAUCAAAUUUUUAUAUGCUGCUUAUGUUCUUACAAAGAUUCUAGAACAAAUCUGAGUUUGAAACAAAUCCUUGACACCUAUAUGAAGCAGCUGCAACUCAGAUGCCAAGUUUUAUGUUCUGUAUCAGGCAACCGAGAGUGGCUAUGGAAUUGCUGCAAGGGCUUUGACUGCUGUAAUAAGGGUCAUAAUGAUCGCGGACCAAAGACAAAAGACAAUGCUGACUGAUAAAAUUUUGAAUGCACUUGAUCUCGCUUCACCAAAUGAACUCAUCGGAGACGGCUUGUAAUUUAGGCAGUGUAAACCGUCUCUAAAGCUCCAGACUAAUACGAACCAUGAAUUCAAUCCGAUUCAGUCAGGCUGUCCAGCAUUCACAGGUCCAGUCCAGCAGCUUAUACGUGCUUCACUCCUGCAUACUUCAGCUUCCUGCCACCACAGUUAAACCUGUUGUUUAAGUGUGUUAGUCUUUUUUAGAGUUUGUUAGAGGCAGUAAUUUUUUUCUCUGUUUUCUUAAGCAUUGGCAGCUUGUAUAUAAUAAGCUAAACAUUGCUCAGUAGAAUUACUAAGUUGUAAUCAUUGUAUUGCAAUUAAUAAAAACUUCCUUUCUCCUCUCAA
Mercurialis annua (annual mercury) is the source of this 2034-nucleotide RNA transcript. RefSeq lists it as uncharacterized. NCBI's taxonomy places the organism in Eukaryota, Viridiplantae, Streptophyta, Magnoliopsida, Malpighiales, Euphorbiaceae. The transcript has 5 exons. The record is from RefSeq and is a predicted model, not a curated record.